GCCAGGUGCAGUGGCGCGUGCCUGUAGUCCCAGCUACUCAAGAGGCUGAGGUGGGAGGAUCGCUUGAGCCCGGCAGUUCUGGUCUGUAGUGCACUAUGCUGAUAGAGUGUCCACACUAAGUAUGUCAUCAAUAUGGUGACCUCCCGGGAGCGGGGGACCACUAGGUUGCCUAAGGAGGGGUGAACCGGCCCAGGUCAGAAACGGAGCAGGUCGAAACUGUGCUGAUCAGUAGUGGGAUUGCGCCUGUGAAUAGCCACUGCACUCCAAAUUGGGCAACACAGUGAGACCCCGUCUUU
RNAcentral lists this signal recognition particle RNA (296 nucleotides) under Saimiri boliviensis boliviensis (Bolivian squirrel monkey). RNAcentral describes it as "Metazoan signal recognition particle RNA (ENSSBOG00000009365.1)". It matches the Rfam family "Metazoan signal recognition particle RNA". From Rfam's summary of the family: The signal recognition particle (SRP) is a universally conserved ribonucleoprotein. It is involved in the co-translational targeting of proteins to membranes. The record is from RNAcentral. Lineage: Eukaryota; Metazoa; Chordata; Mammalia; Primates; Cebidae.